GAUGUUGCUAAAACGUCACCAUUAUUAAUUAUGUGGCCAAUGAGCGAUCGCCCGGUUAGGGUAUAUAAGUUGGUUGGUUCUGCCUCUUGCUGUGUGUCAUGGUCGAAAGCCCGCCCCUUCCUUCCUGUUGUGGCCUUCCAAGUGUGUUGUUAGGCUGCUGAGAUAUACUGGGUGCGGUGCGUUGUUGGCUCUCAGUGUGGUGUGCCUUCAUGGCUCCCAUUGAUUGUGGCCUCACAGUGUAACGUAGCCCAGGUCGUAGCACCAGCUGUUGUCGCUGUCACCUUUUAAAGAGGAGCCUUUAAAGAGGUUGUUGUUGUAUGAUCCUUAGAUCUGUUGUCAUGAGCAUUACACCAUCGUAUUAACGGGUAGGUAAAUCGCUCUAAUAGCUAAAUAACCUCGGAUGUUUUAUUGUAGUUGUAAUUGUGCUGUGUGUGUGUGUGUUUUGGAAUAGGUUGAGCGGAAGUGGUAAUUAAUACAGCUCGUUUCCUAUUCUGCAUUGUUCGAGCCACGCUGCUGCUUUUGGGAGUUUAAUUACGUCCAUGUCUAGUAUUCAAGUGGGCUUGAUGUUUG
Long non-coding RNA from Sinocyclocheilus anshuiensis, 570 nucleotides. RefSeq lists it as uncharacterized. Lineage: Eukaryota; Metazoa; Chordata; Actinopteri; Cypriniformes; Cyprinidae. The transcript has 3 exons. The record is from RefSeq and is a predicted model, not a curated record.